This 492-nucleotide ribosomal RNA is filed under the name uncultured bacterium. RNAcentral's name for it is "partial 16S ribosomal RNA". It matches the Rfam family "Bacterial small subunit ribosomal RNA", at positions 29 to 507 of the family's 1533-position model. The record is from RNAcentral.
AGUGAACGCUGGCGGUAGGCCUAACACAUGCAAGUCGAACGGCAGCACAGUAAGAUCUUGCUCUUACGGGUGGCGAGUGGCGGACGUGUGAGGAAUACAUCGGAAUCUACUUUUUCGUGGGGGAUAACGUAGGGAAACUUACGCUAAUACCGCAUACGACCUACGGGUGAAAGCAGGGGAUCUUCGGACCUUGCGCGAUUGAAUGAGCCGAUGUCGGAUUAGCUAGUUGGCGGGGUAAAGGCCCACCAAGGCGACGAUCCGUAGCUGGUCUGAGAGGAUGAUAAGCCACACUGGAACUGAGACACGGUCCAGACUCCUACGGGAGGCAGCAGUGGGGAAUAUUAGACAAUGGGCGCAAGCCUGAUCCAGCCAUACCGCGUGGGUGGAGAAGGCCUUCGGGUUGUAAAGCCCUUUUGUUGGGAAAGAAAAGCAGCAGGUUAAUACCCAGCUGUUCUGACGGUACCCAAAGAAUAAGCACCGGCUAACUUCGUG